RNAcentral lists this ribosomal RNA (1059 nucleotides) under Triticum aestivum (bread wheat). RNAcentral's name for it is "partial small subunit ribosomal RNA". The record is from RNAcentral. Lineage: Eukaryota; Viridiplantae; Streptophyta; Magnoliopsida; Poales; Poaceae.
AUGAACCUUGACACAAGACAUUGGAAUAAUGUUCUAGAGAGUGAAUUGUGGGAGCUAAGUCAAGAGGAAACUGACAUUUUGCCAGCCCUUCGGUUGAGCUACCUCUAUUUGCCACUCUACUUGAAGAGAUGUUACUCAUUUUGUGCUGUGUACCCCAAAGAUCAUGAAUUUGAGAAGGAUACUUUAGCUGGUAUUUGGGUAGCAGAAGGCUUCGUGGAACCUCAGGGGGACAUUCCAAUCCAAGAUAUUGCUUGCCAGUACUUUGAAGACCUUGUAAGUAGAUCCUUCUUUCAGAAAGUACGCGGCACAUAUGUAAUCCAUGACUUGCUUCAUGAUAUGGUCCAACUGGUUGCAAAGCAUGACUGCUUCAUCUUGGGAAAAAAGAGCGACUUCCACAAGAUUCCACAGAUUGUUCGUCACCUGUCAAUACUCUCUAAAAAUGAAAUUGAUUGCUCCAAACUUCGGAGCCUACGCAAGCACACAAAGCUGCGUACCUUACUGUGCACCACGUCCUCAGGGAAUAACAUUGCAGCUUCUGUAAUGGCUCACUGGUGCAAUGAACUUGCGCGUUUGCGCGUGAUUUUUUAUGCCUGUACAGAUGGGAUACCGGAUAGUAUUGGCAACUUGAAACAUCUCCGGUACCUUCAAAUUUCCAGAGCAGCUUGUCCUCCGAAGAGAUUUCUUCCCCCAACAUUCUCUAGCCUCUAUAAUUUGCAGAUUUUACGUGUCAGGGAAAUCGAGCUAGAAAGCCUUUCUGCUGACUUCAGUAACUUGAUCACUUUCCGAGGAUUUGAAUUGUGUGGAUUUCAAUAUUACUCAAAAUACCAGUUAAAUUAUGGUGAUGGAACAGAGGCGGAACUAAAGAACAAGAGUUAUCUUCACGGUCUGGAAGUACGUUGGUCUUCGUCGAGGCUUGGACAACGAAACUAUGAGAAAGCAGAAGUGCUUAAUGUCGUACAACUUCCCACCAGUUCCCGAUCUCUGCUACUCUUGGAUUAUCCAGGUGUCUCUACCAAACUGGUGGCAGCUACAACAAUUGCCAAUAUUAACAUCAUUUGA